AUGAACGCUAGCGGCAGGCUUAACACAUGCAAGUCGAGGGGCAGCACGGGUAGCAAUACCGUGGUGGCGACCGGCGCAAGGGUGCGUAACGCGUGAGCAACAUGCCCUAUACGAGGGGGAUAAUCCAGGGAAACUUGGUCUAAUAUCCCAUAGUAUUUAGAGGAGGCAUCUUCUAUAAAUUAAAGCUUCGGUGGUAUAGGAUUGGCUCGCGUGACAUUAGCUAGAUGGUGAGGUAACGGCUCACCAUGGCAAUGAUGUCUAGGGGUUCUGAGAGGAAGGCCCCCCACACUGGGACUGAGACGACGGACCAGACUCCUACGGGAGGCAGCAGUGAGGAAUAUUGGUCAAUGGGCGAGAGCCUGAACCAGCCAAGUCGCGUGAAGGAAGAAUGCGCUACGCGUUGUAAACUUCUUUUCCAGGGGGAGAAUAAUCCUGUCGUGACAGGACUUGACGGUACUCUGGGAAUAAGCAUCGGCUAACUCCGUG
Molecule: ribosomal RNA, 486 nt
Filed under: uncultured bacterium
Lineage: Bacteria
Description: bacterial SSU rRNA
Rfam family: Bacterial small subunit ribosomal RNA
Source: RNAcentral